RNAcentral lists this ribosomal RNA (322 nucleotides) under uncultured soil bacterium. RNAcentral's name for it is "bacterial SSU rRNA". It matches the Rfam family "Bacterial small subunit ribosomal RNA", at positions 27 to 377 of the family's 1533-position model. The record is from RNAcentral.
GGAACGAACGCUGGCGGCAUGCCUAAUACAUGCAAGUCGAACGAAGGCUUCGGCCUUAGUGGCGCACGGGUGCGUAACGCGUGGGAAUCUGCCCCUUGGUUCGGAAUAACAGUUGGAAACGACUGCUAAUACCGGAUGAUGACGAAAGUCCAAAGAUUUAUCGCCAAGGGAUGAGCCCGCGUAGGAUUAGCUAGUUGGUGAGGUAAAGGCUCACCAAGGCGACGAUCCUUAGCUGGUCUGAGAGGAUGAUCAGCCACACUGGGACUGAGACACGGCCCAGACUCCUACGGGAGCAGCAGUAGGGAAUAUUGGACAAUGGGCG